Molecule: ribosomal RNA, 465 nt
Filed under: Vreelandella stevensii
Lineage: Bacteria; Pseudomonadati; Pseudomonadota; Gammaproteobacteria; Oceanospirillales; Halomonadaceae
Description: partial 16S ribosomal RNA
Rfam family: Bacterial small subunit ribosomal RNA
Source: RNAcentral
CCUACGGGGGGCUGCAGUGGGGAAUAUUGGACAAUGGGGGGAACCCUGAUCCAGCCAUGCCGCGUGUGUGAAGAAGGCCCUCGGGUUGUAAAGCACUUUCAGUGAGGAAGAACGCCUGGUGGUUAAUACCCAUCAGGAAAGACAUCACUCACAGAAGAAGCACCGGCUAACUCCGUGCCAGCAGCCGCGGUAAUACGGAGGGUGCGAGCGUUAAUCGGAAUUACUGGGCGUAAAGCGCGCGUAGGUGGCUUGAUAAGCCGGUUGUGAAAGCCCCGGGCUCAACCUGGGAACGGCAUCCGGAACUGUCAAGCUAGAGUGCAGGGGAGGAAGGUAGAAUUCCCGGUGUAGCGGUGAAAUGCGUAGAGUUCGGGAGGAAUACCAGUGGCGAAGGCGGCCUUCUGGACUGACACUGACACUGAGGUGCGAAAGCGUGGGUAGCAAACAGGAUUAGAUACCCUAGUAGUC